UACGUAGGGGGCUAGCGUUGUCCGGAAUCAUUGGGCGUAAAGCGCGUGUAGGCGGCCCGGUAAGUCCGCUGUGAAAGUCGGGGGCUCAACCCUCGGAUGCCGGUGGAUACUGUCGGGCUAGAGUGCGGAAGAGGCGAGUGGAAUUCCUGGUGUAGCGGUGAAAUGCGCAGAUAUCAGGAGGAACACCAAUUGCGAAGGCAGCUCGCUGGGACGUGACUGACGCUGAGACGCGAAAGCGAGGGGAGCAAACAGG
RNAcentral lists this ribosomal RNA (253 nucleotides) under uncultured bacterium. RNAcentral's name for it is "partial 16S ribosomal RNA". It matches the Rfam family "Bacterial small subunit ribosomal RNA", at positions 524 to 776 of the family's 1533-position model. The record is from RNAcentral.